UUUGGUCGCAAAAAAAUCUCAUUUGGCGACCAAAUUUUAAUUAGUCGCGAAUGAUCAUUAUUUUUGGCGACCAAAUAUUAUUGGUCGCAGAAAGUUAUAUUUUGGCGACCAAAAAAUGAGUUGGUCGUAGAAAGUGGUAUGCAUUUGCCAACCAACUACAAAUUUAGUCGCGAAAGGUCACAUAUUUUUUGGCGACCAAAAAUUUGGUCGCCAAAAACUUAUUUUCAGCAACAAAAAAAAAUUAGUCGCCAAAUUAAUAUUUUUAGCAACUAAUAUUUUAGUCACCAUUGAUUGAGAUUUGGCGACUAAAAAAAUUAGUCGUUAUAUAUUUGAGAUUUUGCGACAAAAAACGAAUUUAGUCGUUAAAGGCGAAAUUUUUUUAGAGGGAAAUCUCGCGCCCACCCCUGUUCUCUGUUUACAAUUACACACAACAUUUUGUUCAAAUUCUCCUCCACCGCCAAACCUCACCCCAUCGCCACAGAUCGCCACAUCUACAUCGUCGAUGAUCCUCCUCCUUCUCCUCUGCCUGUGCCUCCGCCGAAUCCGAGAAGAAAGUCGAGAUCUGAAUCUGAUUUGAGUCCUAGGCUGAGAUCUGACCGUCGUGAGCGAUCCACAACGACACAAUGGCUUCCAAAUCCUACAACAAGAUCAUCGAUAUCUACGACGACCUCAUCCUUCAGAGCUUCAAGCAGUUCGAUUUCGUCUAAAGGUUGGACUUGUUGUGUAUGAUUCACAAGUUCCGAUUGGUGCCACUCCUGAAUAUAUGGCUGGUUAUUACAUGG
Camellia sinensis is the source of this 782-nucleotide long non-coding RNA. RefSeq lists it as uncharacterized. The record is from RefSeq and is a predicted model, not a curated record. NCBI's taxonomy places the organism in Eukaryota, Viridiplantae, Streptophyta, Magnoliopsida, Ericales, Theaceae.